GGGGAAUUUUGGACAAUGGGCGAAAGCCUGAUCCAGCAAUGCCGCGUGUGUGAUGAAGGCCUUCGGGUUGUAAAGCACUUUUGGUAGGAACGAAACGGUCCGGGCUAAUACCCUGGACUAAUGACGGUACCUGCAGAAUAAGCACCGGCUAACUACGUGCCAGCAGCCGCGGUAAUACGUAGGGUGCAAGCGUUAAUCGGAAUUACUGGGCGUAAAGCGUGCGCAGGCGGUUUUGCAAGACCGAUGUGAAAUCCCCGGGCUUAACCUGGGAACUGCAUUGGUGACUGCAAGGCUAGAGUGUGUCAGAGGGAGGUGGAAUUCCGCGUGUAGCAGUGAAAUGCGUAGAUAUGCGGAGGAACACCGAUGGCGAAGGCAGCCUCCUGGGAUAACACUGACGCUCAUGCACGAAAGCGUGGGGAGCAAAC
Molecule: ribosomal RNA, 425 nt
Filed under: uncultured bacterium
Lineage: Bacteria
Description: bacterial SSU rRNA
Rfam family: Bacterial small subunit ribosomal RNA
Source: RNAcentral